Molecule: transfer RNA, 59 nt
Filed under: Loxodonta africana (African savanna elephant)
Lineage: Eukaryota; Metazoa; Chordata; Mammalia; Proboscidea; Elephantidae
Source: Rfam by way of RNAcentral
AGUGUUUAAGUGCUCGGCUGCUAACUGAAAGGUUGGUGGUUCGAACCCACCAGACACUC